GUACAUAUAAUUUAUAAAAAUACUAGGCCGUGACCCUAGAAAUGAGAGUUUAAUUCUCUCUAUGAAC
Molecule: transfer RNA, 67 nt
Filed under: Aneides aeneus
Lineage: Eukaryota; Metazoa; Chordata; Amphibia; Caudata; Plethodontidae
Description: tRNA-His
Rfam family: tRNA
About the family: Transfer RNA (tRNA) molecules are approximately 80 nucleotides in length. Their secondary structure includes four short double-helical elements and three loops (D, anti-codon, and T loops). Further hydrogen bonds mediate the characteristic L-shaped molecular structure. tRNAs have two regions of fundamental functional importance: the anti-codon, which is responsible for specific mRNA codon recognition, and the 3' end, to which the tRNAs corresponding amino acid is attached (by aminoacyl-tRNA synthetases). tRNAs cope with the degeneracy of the genetic code in two manners: having more than one tRNA (with a specific anti-codon) for a particular amino acid; and 'wobble' base-pairing, i.e. permitting non-standard base-pairing at the 3rd anti-codon position.
Source: RNAcentral